UCCUGGUUAACCCAGGCAGUCUCAUUAGAGUUCCCACCAUUACGUGUUGGCAACUAAUGAUAAGGGUUGCGCUCGUUGCGGGACUUAACCCAACACCUCACGGCACGAGCUGACGACAGCCAUGCAGCACCUGUGCAGCGGCUCCGAAGAGAAUUACCAUUUCUGGUAACGUCCACUGCAUGUCAAGCCUGGGUAAGGUUCUUCGCGUUGCAUCGAAUUAAACCACAUGCUCCACUGCUUGUGCGGGUCCCCGUCAAUUCUUUUGAGUUUCACCCUUGCGAGUGUACUCCCCAGGCGGUAUACUUAUCGCGUUAGCUUCGGCACAACCGGGGUUGAGUCCAGUUACACCAAGUAUACAUCGUUUACGGCAAGGACUAC
Molecule: unclassified non-coding RNA, 378 nt
Filed under: uncultured Parachlamydiaceae bacterium
Lineage: Bacteria; Pseudomonadati; Chlamydiota; Chlamydiia; Parachlamydiales; Parachlamydiaceae
Description: contains 16S-23S intergenic spacer region
Source: RNAcentral